ACAUCCCAACUGGGCACACUGUUGUGAUGAUGGACAGAUGGUGUGCUUGUUUGGAUGUGG
RNAcentral lists this microRNA precursor (60 nucleotides) under Sarcophilus harrisii (Tasmanian devil). RNAcentral describes it as "Sha-Mir-1541_pre stem-loop". The record is from RNAcentral. Lineage: Eukaryota; Metazoa; Chordata; Mammalia; Dasyuromorphia; Dasyuridae.